AAUCACAACCGGGUGUUGCGGGGGUCGGGUGUGAGCCUGGUCCUCGUGAUGCUUUGCUGGCAUGCAUGCAUGGUGUUUCUUGCGAGGCACCGUGGGUGUGGUGUUGGCAUGAUAACAAACCCCCGGCACGGCAUGUGCCAAGGAAAACAAAACAUAAGAAUGGCGCGUCCCGUGUUGCCCCGUUCGCGGUGUGCGCGUGGGUCGUGUCUUCUCAUAAAACCAUAAACGACUCUCGGCAACGGAUAUCUCGGCUCACGCAUCGAUGAAGAACGUAGCAAAAUGCGAUACUUGGUGUGAAUUGCAGAAUCCCGUGAACCAUCGAGUUUUUGAACGCAAGUUGCGCCCGAAGCCAUUCGGCCGAGGGCACGUCUGCCUGGGCGUCACGCAUCGCGUCGCCCCCGACCACGCCUCCCUCAUGGGAAUGGCUUGUGUCGGGAGCGGAGACUGGCCUCCCAUGCCCAUGGUGUGGUUGGCCUAAAAAGGAGUCCCCUUUGUCGGACGCACGGCUAGUGGUGGUUGUCAAGGCCUUCGUAACGAGCCGUGUGGAUGCAAAGGGACCGCUCUAAAAAGACCCCAAGGUUUUUGGUUUGUUACGGAUGGUUGGAUGUCUGCCUUGAGCAGCAACUUCCAUGCGUUCUUACCUCUUCAGUUGUGCGCAAGGCUUGUCGCCUUGGGUACUUUGUGGGUUUCCUGUGUUGCAUACCUAGUCGAUGGUAUUUUGGUGGUUUAUAGAUUUUCCUCUUCGUCGUGCGUCGCUUAUGGGGCGUGGGACGAACGUCGAUGCGAUCUUUGUGAUCUGCCUUGUUGGUGCUUAUGCAUUGAUGAUGUGGCCCAUGAAGCAUUGCUUGGUGUCUUGUGUACGGAACCUAAUGUGGGCAUGGGUCUUACGUGAUCCUAUGUUUGCCCUUGUUAAGCGUUCUCGCUUCUCUAAAACGAUUGCCCGUCACGUUAUGGCUUGUCCAUUCGUUUCGGGCUUUGUCGAAGAGGAAUGCUACCUGGUUGAUCCUGCCAGUAGUCAUAUGCUUGUCU
RNAcentral lists this unclassified non-coding RNA (1029 nucleotides) under Jurinea arachnoidea. Its description in RNAcentral is "sequence contains ITS1, 5.8S rRNA gene, ITS2". The stretch from base 228 to 383 matches the Rfam family "5.8S ribosomal RNA". Lineage: Eukaryota; Viridiplantae; Streptophyta; Magnoliopsida; Asterales; Asteraceae. The record is from RNAcentral.